GAUAACUACGGAAAAGCUGUAGCUAAUACUUGCUUUAUUAUCCUUUGAUUUUUAUCUUUGGAUAAGUAUUUGUUAGGCCUUAUAAGAAAAAAGUUAUUAACUUAAGGAAUUAUAACAAAGAAGUAACACGUAAUAAAUUUAUUUUAUUUAGUGUGUAUCAAUCGAGUUUCUGACCUAUCAGCUUUUGAUGUUAGGGUAUUGGCCUAACAUGGCUAUGACGGGUAA
RNAcentral lists this ribosomal RNA (225 nucleotides) under Plasmodium falciparum (malaria parasite P. falciparum). Its description in RNAcentral is "partial small subunit ribosomal RNA". It matches the Rfam family "Eukaryotic small subunit ribosomal RNA", at positions 142 to 362 of the family's 1831-position model. The record is from RNAcentral. Lineage: Eukaryota; Apicomplexa; Aconoidasida; Haemosporida; Plasmodiidae.